AUUGAACGCUGGCGGCAGGCCUAACACAUGCAAGUCGAGCGAGCGGCGGACGGGUGAGUAAUGUACGGGGACUGCCCGACAGCAGGGGAUAAACAAUGGAAACGGUAGCUAAUACCGCAUACUAUCCGAUUAACAUUAUGGGCUUAGCUAGUAGGUGUGGUAAUGGCUCACCUAGGCGACGAUCCCUAGCUGGUCUGAGAGGAUGAUCAGCCACACUGGGACUGAGACACGGCCCAGACUCCUACGGAGGCAGCAGUGGGGAAUAUUGCACAAUGGGCGCAAGCCUGAUGCAGCCAUGCCGAGUGUAUGAAGAAGGCCCUAGGGUUGUAAAGUACUUUCAGUCGGGAGGCGUUACCGACAGAAGAAGCACCGGCUAACUCCGUGCCAGCCGCCGCGGUAAUUC
Molecule: ribosomal RNA, 403 nt
Filed under: uncultured bacterium
Lineage: Bacteria
Description: partial 16S ribosomal RNA
Rfam family: Bacterial small subunit ribosomal RNA
Source: RNAcentral